UACAAGUUUGACACAUACAAACAAAAAAAAGAAAAAAAAAACCUAUAUAGUCUAUAUCGCAACCGCUAAUGCCCUAACCUGCCCCCAGUCCCACAACCCCGACCGUGGAUCUCCCUCCUCGGUCUCCUACGGUAGACUCUCUGAAUAUCUGGCACUCUCUCCCCUGCGUGCGGCCCUCCACUGACUGCCUGUGAAGCCUGUGAGUGUGAGUGUGACCCCCCCUCUCCUGCAUCUGAUGCCCAUGAUCCUGCCUGUGCCUGUAGAUCAGAUACUGCUGUGAGCUGUGAAACUCCCACUCCCUCGUCUGGUGCAACUGUAUCACGAUCUGUAGUUGGACCCCGACCUUUGCCUCUGCCCGCACCCCGACCUCGGCCGCGACGUCCCCCACGACCAUAACCUCUCCCUCGCGCUCUGGGGGAGGGCUCAAUAUGGGCCUCAUCAUCAAUGUGUGAGAUGUCAGUGAGAAUUGCAUCAUGUGUACUCCUGGGCGCGGUCGAAGUAGUCCCCAUAAAAGCAGGUGGUAACUGGGUGGAUGGGGUAGCAACAUCAUGCAUGAACCGGGGCGCGGUCGAAGUACUCCCUAGAAAAGUAGGAUGUAACUGGGUGGGUGGGGUAAUAACAUCAUGCAUGAAGCGGGGCGGUGACCAAUCAGGGUCAGGGUCAGCAUGCUGGGUAAGAUGUACGUGUGGGGAAUAUGGAGAAAUGUAUGGGGUAUCAUGUGGUGGGGUGACUGAAGUCGAAGGACCUGCUGUGGCUGGCGCUGAACUGGGAGGCACUGACGUGGACGGGACUGAUGUAUCUGGAGCAGCUGCUGCACUGUGUACACCGUAGUCCCCAAAAUGCAGACGAUCUACCCGAUGGGCAUGCUGGAUCCCCUCGUACAAUAACUCUCUGAUCUCUACAAGGGCCUGCAGACCAAGCUGUCCAUCACGUCUG
Molecule: non-coding RNA, 936 nt
Organism: Camellia sinensis
Lineage: Eukaryota; Viridiplantae; Streptophyta; Magnoliopsida; Ericales; Theaceae
Source: RefSeq, a predicted model, not a curated record